AGAGUUUGAUCCUGGCUCAGGACGAACGCUGGCGGCGUGCUUAACACAUGCAAGUCGAACGGAAGGGCCCUGCUUGCAGGGUACUCGAGUGGCGAACGGGUGAGUAACACGUGGGUGAUCUGCCCUGCACUUCGGGAUAAGCCUGGGAAACUGGGUCUAAUACCGGAUAGGAGCCAUUUUUAGUGUGAUGGUUGGAAAGUUUUUUCGGUGUAGGAUGAGCUCGCGGCCUAUCAGCUUGUUGGUGGGGUAAUGGCCUACCAAGGCGGCGACGGGUAGCCGGCCCUGAGAGGGUGGACGGCCACAUUGGGACUGAGAUACGGCCCAGACUCCUACGGGAGGCAGCAGAAGGG
This 350-nucleotide ribosomal RNA is filed under the name uncultured Corynebacteriaceae bacterium. RNAcentral's name for it is "bacterial SSU rRNA". It matches the Rfam family "Bacterial small subunit ribosomal RNA", at positions 8 to 359 of the family's 1533-position model. Lineage: Bacteria; Bacillati; Actinomycetota; Actinomycetes; Mycobacteriales; Corynebacteriaceae. The record is from RNAcentral.